The sequence is a small nucleolar RNA, 76 nucleotides long. Its record names the gene SNORD27. It matches the Rfam family "Small nucleolar RNA SNORD27". From Rfam's summary of the family: U27 is a member of the C/D class of snoRNA which contain the C (UGAUGA) and D (CUGA) box motifs. U27 is encoded within the U22 snoRNA host gene (UHG) in mammals and is thought to act as a 2'-O-ribose methylation guide for ribosomal RNA. This family also contains several related snoRNAs from yeast and plants. The record is from Ensembl.
ACUCCAUGAUGAACGGUAAAAUGACAAGCAUAUGCCUGAACUCAAAAAAGUGAUGUCAUCUUAACUACUGAGAAGU